GAAAUUUCAAGUCUCUGCAAGCCCUAGAAGCCGAUCUCGGCUGUAAGUCCAAGAAAUCCAAGUGGGCAGAAUCGAUUGGAUCAACUUGUUGCCUUACAGAUUUCGGGUUUGUUUCAUGCUACAGCAAAUUCCAUGAGUAGGUGGCUGCAAAACCCUAGUCUCGGUUGUAAUUAGAUCAACCUUUUUAGAGAGCUUUUCAGUUAUUAAGUUGAUAGAGAUUGUAUUAGUUGUUUCCUUUGUCUAUGUUGAUUAAUUGAGUCUAUUCCGCAUUGUUAGUUGAGUUA
Molecule: long non-coding RNA, 284 nt
Organism: Zingiber officinale
Lineage: Eukaryota; Viridiplantae; Streptophyta; Magnoliopsida; Zingiberales; Zingiberaceae
Exons: 2
Source: RefSeq, a predicted model, not a curated record